GAUGAACGCUAGCUACAGGCUUAACACAUGCAAGUCGAGGGGCAGCAUGAUUGAAGCUUGCUUCAAUCGAUGGCGACCGGCGCACGGGUGAGUAACACGUAUCCAACCUGCCGAUAACUCGGGGACAGCCUUUCGAAAGAAAGAUUAAUACCCGAUAGUAUAGUAUUUCCGCAUGGUUUCACUAUUAAAGAACUUCGGUUAUCGAUGGGGAUGCGUUCCAUUAGAUAGUUGGCGGGGUAACGGCCCACCAAGUCAACGAUGGAUAGGGGUUCUGAGAGGAAGGUCCCCCACAUUGGAACUGAGACACGGUCCAAACACCUACGGGAGGCAGCAGUGAGGAAUAUUGGUCAAUGGACGAGAGUCUGAACCAGCCAAGUAGCGUGAAGGAGGACUGCCCUAUGGGUUGUAAACUUCUUUUAUACGGGAAUAAAGUGGAGUAUGCAUACUCCUUUGUAGGUACCGGAUGAAUAAGGAUCGGCUAACUCCGUG
Molecule: ribosomal RNA, 489 nt
Filed under: uncultured bacterium
Lineage: Bacteria
Description: partial 16S ribosomal RNA
Rfam family: Bacterial small subunit ribosomal RNA
Source: RNAcentral